RNAcentral lists this ribosomal RNA (301 nucleotides) under uncultured bacterium. RNAcentral's name for it is "partial 16S ribosomal RNA". It matches the Rfam family "Bacterial small subunit ribosomal RNA", at positions 509 to 809 of the family's 1533-position model. The record is from RNAcentral.
CAGUCGCCACGGGAAUACGUAGGGUGCAAGCGUUAAUCGGAAUUACUGGGCGUAAAGCGUGCGCAGGCGGUUUUGUAAGACAGAGGUGAAAUCCCCGGGCUCAACCUGGGAACUGCCUUUGUGACUGCAAGGCUGGAGUGCGGCAGAGGGGGAUGGAAUUCCGCGUGUAGCAGUGAAAUGCGUAGAGAUGUGGAGGAAUACCGAUGGCGAAGGCAGCCCCCUGGGCCAAUACUGACGCCCAUGCACGAAAGCGUGGGGAGCAAACAGGAUUAGAUACCCGAGUAGUCCCUGUCUCUUAUAA